AUUGCAUUGAAUAUUUAUUUUUCUUUUAUUUCCUUGACUGAACUUUGCCUAAUCUGUCAUUAUUGUUUGAUACAAGUGUUUAUGGUAAAUUUGUUCUUUUUAUAUCCUAAAAUUGAUUCAAUCUUUUUCUAAUUAAAGAAAAUAUUCUGACUGAUUGUUAAAAUAUUCUCCUUCUCCAUGAUUGAUUCUGAUUGAUUUUAAAAUAUUUCUUCCUUUUAUCCUAUGGACCCCUUUGCUAUAUAAACAACCCCCAUCCUCAUUCCCAAGGACAAGCCAUUUACAACUUACGCUCUCUCACACGAAAACUUUAAACAAAUAAAUAAUUUUAUUUUAUUAUUUCUGUACUUAUCUUUGGAGCAUUAAUCUUGAGCUUUUGGUGGAAAUUCAUUCUCGAAUCGCAUGCAUCCUUGGUUUUCUUUUUAUUAUUAUUUGUUGUCAUCGACCGGUAAGUCACUAAUCGAUGCAUUCUUUUCUUAUCCCAUAAUAUUUGUGAUGGCAAAACAUAGAAAACAUGUCUAUAGGAACUAGUGUGAACGAUGAUGUUGUGCUUGGUUGUGAUGUCUUUGUGCUUUUGUUUAAGACAACAUGUUCGUAUGUUCGAGUGUUCCUUUUUGUGCUUGCCCUGCUCUUUUGCUCGGAUUUGACAGGUACUAAGCAACAUUGGAAAAGUUGUCAGGGUUUUGGGAUGGGUGUUGUUUAUUUCUCAUUAGUCUACCAUUCUCUUUUAUUAGUCUUUUGUUAGCCAUGAGCCUGUAAUAUUAUUGUACAAACACUAUUGAUGUAAUAAUAAAUUUUGGGAAUUGCUUCGGGGGUGGAGAUUUAUGUGCUCUAUGAAUCACAUAGGCUAACACAACUUAGGUAUACAUGCUCUAUAUGUUAUGUGAAUCACCUAGGUAAACAUAAUUUAGGAUUCAUUAAUUAAAUUGUCGAUCACUUAGAAAUCCUGAUUUUAGGAGUUUAACUGAUUUUGCAUAAUUAUAAUUUCUUGCAACGCUUGUUUCUUUCGGCAUGUUUAAUGAAAUUUGGCAUAUUACGAAUGACAUUUUUUUGCAUCUUUUUAAUUUUACAACGUUCAAGCAACAUUUUUAAACUCACUAGCUAAAUCUCCUACAUUUUAAAGUGAAAUCUAGUGCAUUAAAUCAUUCUCUGGUGCAUAAAAUGAUUGAUUGCAGUAUGUGUCUCGCAUGGUAAAGUCAUUGUCGACACAUGUUAAGUUCUUGCAUAUCGUCGCGUGGUUUUCAACGUACCAACGGUGUCUAAGCAUGAUAAUUUUGUGAGCAUGUUAACAAUUAAACUUGAGUACGUUUUUGCAUGUUAAAACAAAUUUUAGCAUUAUUAGAGUACAUUUCUGCACGUUAAAAUAAAUUUCAGCAUUAUUAGUGUAAGUUUCUGCACAUUAAAACAAAUUUCAGCAUUAUUAGCGUAUGUUUUUGCACAUUAAAAUAAAUUUCAGCAUUAUUAGGGCAUGUUUCUGCACAUUAAAAUAAAUUUCAGCAUUUUAAAACUACUUUCAGCAUGUUAGUAUUAAAAUUUAAACAUGUUAACAUUAAAUUCCUGCACUAUUAACAUAUUUUUAGCAUGUUAGAAUAUUAAAUGCGAGGCAUUUUUAGUAUGUUAUUGUAUUAUAUUCCUGCACACUAAUACAACUGCCAGCAUGUUAAAAAGUAGGUUUUUAAGCAUUUUUAACAUAUUAAACACUAGAUUAAGUACAUCAUUAUGUACCUUAGCAUGUUGAUGUAUUUUCAAUAUUGUGUUUAUUUCUUACACUCUCAUUAGUUUAUAACACUUGCACAAUGAAAGUCGGUCAAUUGGUCGGAUGAUGAUUAAACAAGUUGGGGUUCUGAUCCGAAUGUGACCGAAAACAUUUUUUUGUUUGAUUUGAUGAAUUCUUUUUUUAUUUUUUAUUUACUUUACAUGCUUAUUUAUUUGGGGUAGUUAGUUUAGUACAUAAGCAGUCCCCUUCUGUUAUAAAUUAUGUCAUUUCUUUCUCCUCGUUUAUCCUAUUAUAUAUUUUUAUCACUUAGAUAAUUAACAAUUUGAAAUAAUAAGAUAAUAUGUUUUGUUCAUUAAUUGUUUUAUCACUUAGUUAAAUAUUAAAUUAAUAAUAAAAUAAGAGAUCUUAUUUGAUCACAUAGAAUCCUCACGUAAAAUAUAAAUUCGGCCGGGAACCACCUUUGUGGACCUCGAAAGGUGCCUAACACCUUCCUUCUGAAGUAAUUUGAACCCUUACCCGAAUCUUUGUUGAAUUAAGACAAAACAACAAAAUAGGUUCGUAGUAGCCUAGAUCGAUGUCCUAACACACCUUAAUUCAUUAGGUGGCAACUCUUCAUACUCUACCCUUAAAGAAUCUCAAAAAGAGUGGUCACGUCGAAUCUCGCUUUGCUGGGAUCUUUGGUUCUAACCAUUACAAAUUUGUGCUUUAUGUGGGAUUCUCUCCAUUUGUUUUGAUAAUGUUUAAUCUCCUGAUUUAUUUUCUAUAUGUUCUUCUUUUAGCGUUUGAUUACAUCAUGAUUUAUUAGUCCUUUCUCCUUUUCACUUUAUGUGUUAUUUACAUUUCUCCAUGUUCAUUUCUUUUCCUUUUUCCCUAUUUAUUGUUUAUGCAUUAUUAUGUUCAUUUAUACGUAUGUUGUUUAGCAUGUUAUAUUUCACUAUGUGAUAUGUGUUAUUGCUUUUUAUAAUUGGCAUUUCGCUCAUACUUUCCUCUGCUUGGAACCUCCUUUAUUUUUUUUUACGGACGGUUGCAUGGUUAUACGGACGUUCUUUCCUAAAGCACCCUUUGAAAAAUGUCUUGUGGAUCGGUUGAUCAGCGUUGUGUCGACAGUCACAAGCUUUCCCACUCUCGAGUUGUCCACUUGAGUUCUACCAUGUCACAAACCCACUUUUGUCCUUUUUAUUUUGGCUACAUAUUUCUUUUAUUAAGAAAUAUGUGUCCCAUUCAAUGCAGGAUGCCUUGGCAUCCUUGACGCAUUGAAUGUUAGUCUCAUUCAAAGUCCAAAGAGGUUCAUGACCUCAAAGGGACUCAUAAUUACUUGCUAUAUAUUGCAUUUCUAUGUAUGUAUUGACAUGUGCCUAUCUUGUUGUUAGUCACUCCUUACAUUUAGUGUUCCUCACUUUAGAGCUCGUUACUCUUAAAAUUCUUGUCAUGUUAGGUCCUUACAAUACACUCUUAGGGCCUAUUCAAAAUUCCCUAAUUCAUCCCAACCUGCUAUUCAAUUUUUAUAACUCUCAAAAUUUUGAACUACGUCUGACCUGAUUCUUGUUUCAAUAAGAUACGUAGGCAAUCCCUUUGUAAGGAUGCAAUCUUCCUUUUCCCUUUUUUUAUAAAACGUCCUAAUAUUUGAAAAUAUGAACCAAUCAUUAUCAUUCCAACAAUUUUUCUAUCAAAUCAUAUCCUCCAUAUCUUUCACCUUUCCAUAAUGCCAUAAGGGUGCAACUUAGAAGUUUUUUUAUUCAAAUGAUUUUUCACAAUCUUUCAAACUCUCAAACAUUUCAAACUAAAUACUUCAAAAUGUUCAAAACUUUGUGAAUCUUUAAUUCUUCCAUUUAUUCAAAAUAAUUUCUUUAAACAUUAUAUCCCUGCAAUAUUUUAUCAUUAUUCACUUGUUCACUUAAUCAGCUUCAAGUAUGAAUUUAGUAUCUAAGUCUUUGUGAGAAUCUAUCUUCCAUCUUGUGAUGUCAAUUUAUUUUUCAACCUUAAAAUUCUAACCCACCCAUUCGUCCUAAAGUCCUCCUUGACAAAAUGACUCAUAUCGACAUACUAUCUCUUUUCACAUUGAGCACACUGAUACUUAUUUUGUUUAGUUUAUUAUUUAAAGGUUGUCUAGCGUUUGAACAUCGACUCGAUUGAAAAUCUGCAAUGUGACCAAUAUGCUCAAUAUCCGGAAAGAUUACAUCCUGUUUUUCUCUCACUCAAGGUAAAACUCUGUUUAGACGGAACCUCUUUAUUCUCGCGUUAUUCAUGUACCCUCUCAACAAUUUCCUUCUACAUUCACCACUCUUGAAAAUGGGAGACACCGUUAGUCUACAUUUAUUCACCUUAUGAAUAAAUAAUAUUUUCUAUCUUAUCUACCUUUCUUUUUACUCACGAACAACAUUCGACCUAACUUUCAUUCGGAGGCAGCCCACUCUAGGUCCGGUCUUAAUCUAAUAAAAAAUUUUCUCUCCCCACUUUCUUUCAAUUCUUACAAUUCCAAAAUGACAGGCUAAUAGACCCAACUCUUGAGCAUAUAAAGGCAGAUUACAAUUGAGGUUGCAAUAUUCAAAUGUAGGACAACCAUUUCUCUUAGAAUAAUGUUUUCUUUGAGUGGCUCAGGAAUAUGAUACUCCAAAAUCCAAAAUUGGGGCAUAAUUUUUGAGGUUUCAAUAAAACCUCAAAAAUUUCACAAGUAAACAAUAUAUCAAUGACGUGCAAAAAAUGCCUUUCAUUCUAAAUUGGGGCAGAAAUUUUUGAGAAUUUCUCAAAAAUUUCACCAUGAUAAGUACAAGUUCCAACGGUCCAUGAAGCAGAAAUAAUGACCAAAGAGUCAAAUUGAGCAAGGUACGAAUCAACAUUUUUUUGACUAACAAUUUUUCUUUGUGUACAAACAACAGGUACUAAAUGCAACAACGAUGUUGUGAUAUCAUCAAAGAGGC
Molecule: long non-coding RNA, 4632 nt
Filed under: Capsicum annuum
Lineage: Eukaryota; Viridiplantae; Streptophyta; Magnoliopsida; Solanales; Solanaceae
Description: long non-coding RNA (CANN_LNC012551)
Source: RNAcentral